This is a long non-coding RNA of Rhododendron vialii, 238 nucleotides long. RefSeq lists it as uncharacterized. The record is from RefSeq and is a predicted model, not a curated record. Lineage: Eukaryota; Viridiplantae; Streptophyta; Magnoliopsida; Ericales; Ericaceae. The transcript has 2 exons.
UGAGGCAUGUUUGUGUGACUGGACGAAUUGCUAGAGGAUAUAUAGUCCCAUAAGAUGUGCAGUUCCAUCAGGUUGGUAAUGAAGGGAUUGAUGAUACCAUAACCCCCAAGUCCUAUCUAAAGCAUCAGUCCAGACACACAAACGGGGCCUUACAGUACUCUCUCUCUCUCUCUCUCUCUCUCUCUCUCUCUCUCUCUCUCUCUAUAUAUAUAUAUAUAUAUAUAUAUAUAUAUAUACA